AUCUGUUGCCAGCAAGUAAGUGUUGGGGACUCAGGAUGGAACUGCCGGUGACAAACCGGAGGAAGGUGGGGACGACGUCAAGUCAUCAUGGCCCUUAUGUCCUGGGCUACACACGUGCUACAAUGGCCGGUACAGAGCGCAGCGAAGCCGCGAGGCAAAGCGAAUCGCAAAAAGCCGGUCUCAGUACGGAUUGGAGUCUGAAACCCGACUCCAUGAAGUUGGAAUCGCUAGUAAUCGCGCAUCAGCCAUGGCGCGGUGAAUACGGUUCCCGGCCUU
This 276-nucleotide ribosomal RNA is filed under the name uncultured Spirochaeta sp. Its description in RNAcentral is "partial 16S ribosomal RNA". It matches the Rfam family "Bacterial small subunit ribosomal RNA", at positions 1110 to 1382 of the family's 1533-position model. Lineage: Bacteria; Pseudomonadati; Spirochaetota; Spirochaetia; Spirochaetales; Spirochaetaceae. The record is from RNAcentral.